GGCUCAAGUAAGUUUUCAAGUAUAACAUUUUAAAGGCACCUGUGUAAGAGCUGAAGUAGAUAAAACGUAAAAGCCAACAGUUUUGCAUUUGUUAAAGCAGAUUUUUUAAGGAACUCCAUGUGUCUUCUAGUGCACUAAAAAUACAUUCUCACCUUUGUUGUUUCUUGGGUAAUGUUGGGAAAGAAAGGACCCAAUUAUUCCCUGAUAGUAUAAUUUUACUUGUUUUACAGGACAGAAAGUUAUCUAAGCUCAAUAGUUCUGAGAAAUGUCUUCAUCUAGGAGCAUUCCCUCUGUUUCUUAGAAGUUUGAAUUUGGGAGAAAGGUUGACAAUCUGGGGAAAAAAAAAAAAGACGAAGCGAAAGGAACAGCAUGCUCAGGAGGGCACACACCACGCCAGUUCCCUUGCUUCUAAUGGUUAUCACGUACCAACCCAAGUGGCUGCCGCCUUAUUAAUCAUCAUAUUCAUGAAAAGCUCUACUACUAUGAGAAGUAGAACCCUGUGCCCAUCCUCCACAGCACAGCAGUCUUGGCUGAUGAUGUAAGUGUGCCUUUCGGAGCUCCCUGCCACCCGGCUCCCUUGGGCCCGGUCCUGAGCAGAGCUCUUCCUGGCGCAGACACAAGUGUGAGAUCCUGGGAGUGAAAACCAGAAGCCGCUGCAAAUGUUUCCAAAAGUCCUGUCACCGAGGACCUUAUGCGGAUACUGUGCUGAUUUGCAUUCACUCUCCUGCUCAAAAAAUUGUGCGUGGGGAUGUCCUCUGUUCUACCUGGGUGGCUACAGUAGCAGAAGUCUGAGGCUAGAACUCUCUGGGCAGAGAGAAACUGUCAGCUACUAGUGUUCUGAGAAAGGCACAGGCAGGAGGAAUGCUUUGGAGAAAUAAAGACAAAUCAGCUAGGUCUGUUGCUGACAGUGCUAAAAACUGACAGAUACGCUAGUGUCGGAACGAGGCCUGAUGAAAUACAUAAAAAGACAGGAUUGUUUUCAAAAUGAAGUAUAAAGCAUCAUAAUGAUUUAUGGAUAUUAGACCUUUCCACAUUACCUUCAUAACCAAAGAAUAAGUGACAGAAGCAGUUAGCAUUGAUGGAGUAAUUUCCUGUAGCUAUCAUUUUAUUUUCAAUCUUGGAAUGAAUUACCUUGCUGUUCCUUGCCGUUCACUUUCAAACUCAGAUGAAUUGAAAGCACACCUGGAUAAACUGUAAAGGACACUGAGGCAGAGGAGAAAUAGGUCUCCUGUGAAGGUUGGUUUUUGUGAUCUCCUUGAGCUUAUCUGUUGCUUUCUAAAUGUUUUCCUUGUUUAUGAUUUAAAAAGGAAUGUAGUUCAGCUUAAAUAUCGGGGCCAUAUAAUUUUUAAAAAAUCAUCUUCAGAAGUUGAUUUUCUUAUAUGUGUUUUCUAUUUUAUUUUAUUUGUAAAAGAUUUUACUUAUUGAUUUGUGAGAGACACAGAGACACAGGCAGAGGGAGAAGCAGGCUCCCCAUAAAAAGCCCAAUGUGGGGCUGGAUCCUGGGCCAGAAUCAUGCCCUGAGCCAAAGUUAGACACUCAGCUUCUCAAUCACCCAGGUGUCCCUGUGUUUCCUAUUUUAAUUUAGAUAAUAAGGCAUAUGUCAUCAAUCUCGAAGUGAUUUGCUAUUUGGUUAGUCCCCCAGACUCCUUUCAGGUUUUAUCCACAGAUUAGAAAUUAUAGGGAUCUUUCACUUUAUGUGUUUUAUGCGGAUGCUUAUUCAUCUGCUCCUCUUGGUUCUUCAUUAGAGAACCAAACUUUUUGAAGUGAAGUUGAGUAAAGGUAUAGACAGAAUUCUAGUAAGGGGCAGUUGCCACUUGAGGAAGUCUUAAGAAAUCAC
This 1837-nucleotide long non-coding RNA is filed under the name Canis lupus familiaris (dog). RNAcentral describes it as "lncRNA (ENSCAFG00845012809.1)". Lineage: Eukaryota; Metazoa; Chordata; Mammalia; Carnivora; Canidae. The record is from RNAcentral.